UACGGGAGGCAGCAGUGGGGAAUAUUGCACAAUGGGCGCAAGCCUGAUGCAGCCAUGCCGCGUGUAUGAAGAAGGCCUUCGGGUUGUAAAGUACUUUCAGUCGUGAGGAAGGUGUUAAGGUUAAUAACCUUAGCAAUUGACGUUAGCGACAGAAGAAGCACCGGCUAACUCCGUGCCAGCAGCCGCGGUAAUACGGAGGGUGCGAGCGUUAAUCGGAAUUACUGGGCGUAAAGGGCACGCAGGCGGUUAAUUAAGUUGGAUGUGAAAUCCCCGGGCUUAACCUGGGAAUGGCAUUCAAGACUGGUUAGCUAGAGUCUUGUAGAGGGGGUAGAAUUCCAUGUGUAGCGGUGAAAUGCGUAGAGAUGUGGAGGAAUACCGGUGGCGAAGGCGGCCCCUGGACAAAGACUGACGCUCAUGUGCGAAAGCGUGGGGAGCGAA
Molecule: ribosomal RNA, 438 nt
Filed under: uncultured bacterium
Lineage: Bacteria
Description: bacterial SSU rRNA
Rfam family: Bacterial small subunit ribosomal RNA
Source: RNAcentral